RNAcentral lists this ribosomal RNA (497 nucleotides) under uncultured bacterium. Its description in RNAcentral is "partial 16S ribosomal RNA". It matches the Rfam family "Bacterial small subunit ribosomal RNA", at positions 28 to 507 of the family's 1533-position model. The record is from RNAcentral.
GAUGAACGCUGGCGGCGUGCCUAAUACAUGCAAGUCGAGCGAACAGAUGAGGAGCUUGCUCCUCUGACGUUAGCGGCGGACGGGGGAGUAACACGUGGAUAACCUACCUAUAAGACUGGGAUAACUUCGUGAAACCGGAGCUAAUACCGGAUAAUAUAUUGAACCGCAUGAUUCAAUAGUGAAAGACGGUUUUGCUGUCACUUAUAGCUGAAUCCGCGCCGCAUUAGCUAGUUGGUAAGGUAACGGCUUACCAAGGCAACGAUGCGUAGCCGACCUGAGAGGGUGAUCGGCCACACUGGAACUGAGACACGGUCCAGACUCCUACGGGAGGCAGCAGUAGGGAAUAUUGCGCAAUGGGCGAAAGCCUGAUGGAGCAACGCCGCGUGAGUGAUGAAGGUCUUCGGAUCGUAAAAUUCUGUUAUUAGGGAAGAACAAAUGUGUAAGUAACUAUGCACGCAUUGACGGUACCUAAUGAGAAAGCAACGGCUAACUACGUG